Molecule: ribosomal RNA, 88 nt
Filed under: Shewanella algae
Lineage: Bacteria; Pseudomonadati; Pseudomonadota; Gammaproteobacteria; Alteromonadales; Shewanellaceae
Also listed under: 1 other name
Source: RNAcentral
CUGAUCCCAUCCCGAACUCAGAAGUGAAACGCAAUCGCGCCGAUGGUAGUGUGGGGUCUCCCCAUGUGAGAGUAGGUCAUCGCCAGAC